This 192-nucleotide non-coding RNA is filed under the name Desulfacinum hydrothermale. RNAcentral also lists the same sequence under 1 other name. Lineage: Bacteria; Pseudomonadati; Thermodesulfobacteriota; Syntrophobacteria; Syntrophobacterales; Syntrophobacteraceae. The record is from RNAcentral.
AAUUGAAUCGAGCGGUCAGGUGCCCGGCCGUGGGCUUAAGAGGGAAUCCCGUGCGAAUCGGGAGCGGUCCCGCCGCUGUGAACGGGGACGAAAUCCGCGCAAAAGCCACUGCUUCUCUUUUUGAGAAGCGGGAAGGUGCGGAGAGUAGGGCGAUCCGUGAGCCAGAAGACCUGCCUGACCGAAGGGAAGCGG